Molecule: long non-coding RNA, 526 nt
Filed under: Gallus gallus (chicken)
Lineage: Eukaryota; Metazoa; Chordata; Aves; Galliformes; Phasianidae
Source: RNAcentral
GGCAAAGUACUGGAUGACCCUUUUUGUGUUGACAGUCUUGCCAGCACCGGAUUCUCCAGUGAUCAGCAUUGACUGAUUUUCCCGAUUACGCAGCAUGUCGUGGUAUGCGUUAUCAGCAAUGGAGAAGAUGUGAGGAGGGGCUUCUGAGCGCCUCUUGCCUUUGUAGGCAGCAACAACCUCCGACUUGUAGACAGGCAGCCACUUGUAGGGGUUUAUAGUCACGCAGAACAAGCCCGAGUAGGUAUAAAUCAUCCAGUUGCUGUAGCGCUUCCUCAGGUUGUACAACACAGAUGCCUCAUUCAGAUGGGUCAGCAUAGCCAUGUCCUCAAUCAUGUCGAAUUUGGGAGGGUUCAUUGACUGCACGUCAUCUUCUUUUAUAGUCAUGGUCCGUCCAUCUGUUGUCUCAACAGUCACUUUGCCACCACUGCUUUCUGUAAUUUCAGCUUCAACGUAAGCUUUCUUGUCAUCAGGAACCCAACAUUUCUUUUUCCCAUCGAAGGCGACAGUUUGUAACAUCAUCAGCUCC